UUAUGUUGACCGAUUUCUAAAAAAUACCUUAAUAAAUAAGUAUACACGAAAAGUGUGAAAAAAGACAUAAUUAUGUAUGUAGAUUGAUAUGUAUAGAUUUGUUUACUAUAAUAGAUAGGCAUAAUUAGAACAAAUGGUAUUUUAUCUAUAAAGGCAAAAUAUAUAGAUGAUUGCUUAACAUGUGCAUUAAUGAUUUAUUACCUUUAUAAUUUCCUAUGAUUGAGUAUCACAAUCUAUAUAGAUUGAUACUAAAUUGAGAAAAU
This 263-nucleotide long non-coding RNA is filed under the name Erythranthe guttata (spotted monkey flower). RNAcentral's name for it is "long non-coding RNA (EGUT_LNC001767)". The record is from RNAcentral. Lineage: Eukaryota; Viridiplantae; Streptophyta; Magnoliopsida; Lamiales; Phrymaceae.